GACUAUGGCCAUGCCACUCUGAACAAGCCCGAUCCCGUCUGAUCGGGAGCUAAGCAAGGUUGGGCCUGGUUAGUACUUGGAUGGGAGACCACCUAGGAAGACCAGGUGCUGUAGGUG
Molecule: ribosomal RNA, 117 nt
Filed under: Pteropus alecto (black flying fox)
Lineage: Eukaryota; Metazoa; Chordata; Mammalia; Chiroptera; Pteropodidae
Source: RNAcentral